UGUCCUGAAGGAGCUCUGCAGAAACCUGAGCAGGUUAAGGGGUUACAAUCCUUACCUUUUGUAUCACCUUUUUUCAUCAGAAGGAAUUGGUGCUUUAAAAUGAGGUGUGCAGCAUCAUCUGCUGAUCUCAAAUACAGGGGAAGUAUUUUUAGUUAAUGAAAUGAUAAAAAAAAUGGGCUUUUUGGUAAGAGUCUGUAGAAUAGCAGAAUGUCCUGAAUAUUCAAAGGCUUUAUUGGUUUGUCUUCAUUUUACCCAAAAUGCUGCUUGAGUAUGGAAGACUUCUGCAAAAUUAAGAGGGUUUAGUUUAAACUGUUUGAAGGAUUUGAAAGUGCUUCCAAGAGGCUCAAAUAACCUUUAAAUUUUGAAUGUUUCCUGAGCUUUGAGUGUUCCAUCUUUUAAAAACUGUCUCCUGCAACUCUACAAACCCUGACUUCAGUUUGUAUUUUGAGCACAAGAAAACAGCUCCUGAGUAUCUGAGACUGUGAAGAACAGAGCCCAGUUCUGAAAACACCCCUGAGGUGAUGGCUGAGUUUCACUGCUGAACUCUGAUCCUCUAAGCUUUGUCAAGGAGACUCGCCAGGAAUUCGAAGCAGAUAUUUUUGUGUUGCAAUGACAUCACCCCGUUCCCUGAGGUUUCCAGAAAUCUUGAGCCCUCUGUGUACAGCAGCGUGUUCAUUCUUGUGAAGUCAUUCUAAACUGAGAGUGAUUCCACUGCAGUGGUGUCAUGUAAUUGUUCCAAAGCUGCUGAAUUAGAUCCCGGAGUCUUGUUUGGUUUUGUUUUGGUUUUGUUUUUGUUUUUUUAGGCAAAGAUAAAGCCUUGAAUGAGAAUCAGCCAGCAGAGCCACAAAGGGCAGCUGUAGUUUUUGCUCCCUGCACAGGAGGGUGCUCAACCUCUGUUUUUAUCUGCAGGAAGGAGUGACUCCGUGGUCAUCAGGACCAAGUGGAGAAGCUGUUUCCUGAACCGGGCUUUUCUUGUAGAGACACUGGAGGAUCUGUUAAAUCCAGUGACUCAAAAAUUAUUCAGCUGCUCAAGAAUUUCGGGAGGUGUGUGUUAAUUGCUGCUGUUAGACCAUUACGGAGGUAUUUAGGUCAGAAGAUGUAAUGAUCAUGACGCUGGUAUUCUCUAAUGGGUGUCCUUAAAGGUGCCAGAAUUUUCAGUAGGAUCUUUGAAGUUUCUCAAAAUAAGGGUUUUUUCCCAUCUAAUUUGCUCAUCUGAACGUGUGAAUCCCCGUGUGAAUCAUUCAAUUGAACAGUGAAUUCUCAUGUGUGUAAACAUGAGUGGGUUUACCAGGAAGGAGUAGAUGAGUUUGUUAAUUUAUAUUCCAUUUGUAGUACCUGCUGGUAGUUAUAUCCUUAAUUAUUCUGUAUUUUCCUUGUUGAAUCAUAGAAUACCCUGAGAUGGAAGGGACCCACUGGGAUCAUCCAGGUCCCACUCCUGGCCCUGCACAGGACAGCCCUAGCAGUCCCACCAUGUGUAUGAUAUACAGCAAUACAUUUCCAAACCCAAAUUUAAUCUUCUAACAUAACUCAUAAAAUGGAAUUUGACUUUCUGUUUACCUUUUUAGGGAUCAAAGAGGGGUCCUGGAUGUUGUUGUCUGGUCAGGUUUUAGUUAAGUGAGUUUUCUGUCUGAAAGCAAUUUGUCAAACCUGUGUGUUGUACAAUAUUCCAGCCCUCUGGGUGCACAUCCAAUUUAGUCACUGAGGAAAGACAGUUUUGUUUUUAAAAAGCAGAUGUCUGGAAAAGGAAAUACCUCCUUUCAGACCUUUUGGAAUAAAUACAAACCUAGAAAUGUAGUGGGCAAAAUCUUGUUAGCUGUGGUGAAGGGGAUUCGUCCCCUUAACGUCAGCACAUAAAUAUUUGCUUCAUUUCAGUCAAUAUUUACCUCACGGGUCAAUAAAACUUGUUUUGCACUUCACAGAGUUAAUAUUUACUUGCUGUUUUUAGCUUGGUGACAAUAUUUAAAAUUCUCUUAAGUAUAUGGCGGGCUUUUCUACUUCUUUUAUAACAAAAGAUUUUGUUUUAACAGAGGUGUGUUAAUUUAUUAGGAAGUGUUAUCCAUGAAUCAGACCAUGUUUGUCACCUAAUAAGAUUAUCCAGAUUAUGCCUAUAACACUUUACAAGUAUGAAAAGGAUUUUUUUUGCUUGAAAGUGACUAAAUGUCUUACCAAAUUUUAAAGUAGUUGCUUGUGUCUGUAAAAUUAGGCUGUAAAACUUAAGACACUGACACUAAUUUAGAAGGUAAAGUGAAAUUAAAGCAAUUCUUACUCUGAAAAUAAUUUUUGUUUUGGAAAGCAAUCACUAACUUCACCAUUUUUUUAGUUAAGUCAAAGCACAGUGGCCAGGCUUGUAUGGUUUAGGAGGAAAUGCAGAACUGAAUUUUAGAUCCUUAGAGCUGACAAGACCACGUUUGCAAAAGUACAGGUUCAUUUCCACGGCAGAACUUUCCCCAGUGCAUUUCAUAUUUCUGUCACAGCUGGCUGGGUGCUAUUUCCAGUGGGUGAGGUGUAUUAGAAGUUGAUCCAUGGCUUCCAACCUGCCCCAGCCUUUGUCUGCAGCUGUGGGUGAGGCCAGCCCCAGCUCCUGUGGCUGCUCCAAGGAGAUAACGGGGUGCUUGUUAAGCCACGUGUGUUAUCUCACUGCCUUGUGCCCUGCUCCUGCCUGCUGUGCUUAACCCCAGUCCUCAGCAGCUUGUUUACAUUUCUGGCACAAAAAGGACCCCAAACAUCUCCAGUUCUGUCCCUCUGAAUGGUGAUUUUGUGAUUGAUACAAUUAGACAUGAGGGUGAGGUCAUUUAAUUGAAAUCUUCAGUUGAACCAAAAUCUCUGAACUAAAUCACAGCGCACCCAUAUCCUUCAAACUGUCAAACAAAACAUCUGUUUAUGAUAAUCAUUAUCUUAAUUGAAGAGUUCUAGCUCAUGCCAUGCUUUUCUUCAUUAAUGGAAAGAAUUAAUGAAAGAAUACUUAGAAAAGUACUUAACUAUUUCACUAAGAACUACUUCUGAAGUGAAAUACUGCUGAAGGAAUACUGGAAUUCAUCUUAGACUCCUAUAUAAACUUCCUCCUGGUGAACUUAACCAAGUUAACCAUUUUUCAGCCUCCAAUGCUGCAGUAAAAAUGUGCUUCCUUAAAUCUGGCUUGCUUGCAGACAGAGUCUGACACACUGGAUUUAGUACAGCUGCAGAAUUAACAUUCAAAACUCCCAUGCUGCACAGUUUCCCCACGUGUUACAUAAAAAUGCUGUGCAGCUCCUCUCUCCAAGCUCCUCUCUCAGGGCUUUAGCUGCCUGUUUGCCUCCCCUUUGGUUACUGUUUUCAUUUAUACACAAUCCAAUUUUACACUCACCCAAAUUACUGCUCAUUGUGAGAUAAAUAUGGUAAAUUGAUAAUUCUGCCCAAUAUUGACUUAACAUUCAAGGUGUAACAGCUUCAGAACAUAUUUUGAAGUGUGUUUCAGGUGAUGGGAGGCAAUGUGGGUUUCUUUGAACACCUGAACUGUAGAGCUGUGAUGGUUUGGAUGCUGUUGAUUUUCAACAUCCACAGUUUGAGAUCCAUCUCUAUAUUGUUUAAUCCUGCAAGGUAGAGAAUGGCUUAGAUUCCAUACCCAGAUUUUCAGGAUUUUUUUUAUCCAGAGACUGAAUUUCAUUCAGGAAGAUUUUUGGGAAAGUAGCUGAUUUGAUUUAGGGAGUAGAUGGAUUUUAAAGUCAUGGUAGGUAAAUACUAUCAGGUAUACCUCCUCCUCCUCCAUAGCUUUUCAUGGCAAAAGUAGUUCUGUUAUUUUUGUAUUCUAAAGAAAUAUUUCCUAACCUUUAUUUUACAAAGAUUCCUUUUUAGCAACCAACUAAUUUUUUUUUUUUAAUCAGUUUUUCAGCCCAGACUUGGUAAUCACUCCUUCCCUCUUUGUGCUAAUGGUCCUUCCCCUCCAGGAAAAUCUUAGCUUGGAUUCCUAUGGAGUCAGCAGUGAAGGAUGGAUUGGGAGCAGUGUGAAAUUCUUGCUGGUGCUGCAGCAUCUCCUGACAGGAGAGCAGAGCCACAGAGGAGGAAACAGCAUCAACAUUCUUCAUAAAGCAGAGAAAAUAGGUGCAGGCAAAUCCUUUAAAUUGAGCUAUAAUGAAAUUAUUGUUUAUAGCCCAGCUUCUCCCUUCCAUCCAGAAUCUGUCAUUUAGGUGAUUGGGCCAGCAGGUGCAAACAUAAUUGAAUUCAGGGAAAUAAAUAUGGAGGGAGGCUGGGGAUUGUUUGCUAAAAAGAAGACAUCUAGUUUACUAAUUAGGAGGAUUUAUAGGAUGCUGCACUUAAAAAUAGAUGAUUAUUGAUGGUUCAUCUUAAUCAUGAGAGUUACUUUAUAGUUUGAGGUUUCUUCCAGCUAUAAGCAGGAACAACAGCUCCUCUGCUCUGGAAACUUUCUGAAAGGCUGAACAGAAACAAUGUUGUCAAUUUAGAGAGGAGGUAGCAAAAAAAGUGUGUUACAUCUGUCUUUGAAUGAGUUACACAGCGGAAAGAACCCGGAAUUGUUUUUAAUUAUAAGAGCAUAAAAAGUUAUAGGACUGUAGGAACGAAGAUGAAAUUUGCUUUUGAUAUUCUCAUCUAAAGAUAUGUUAAAAUCAUAGGUAGAUAUUAAACUAAAAUACUUGUCAGUGGACACUGCUGAAGUGCAAGUUAAAUAUUUUAAAUUUCAUUUAUUUUAAAUGCAGUAGUGCUGAUAACACUGGCACUUAGGUCAAUAUCAUUUCUCAUUAAAGUUCUUUCAGCACUCACAGCUUUAUCAGUUACCAGCGAGCUCAUCACAGCAGCCAGGUAUGAAUUACACAUUUCCCAUGCCUUUAUCUCAUUCAUUUCUCCAUCCUGCACUUCAAUAAUUUGAAUAUGAAGUACAUCAGGAAAACAGAGUUGUUUUUUUCUCUAUGGAGAGCUCAAGCAGAACUGUUCCUCACAAGGAGUAACAAACAGCCAGACUGAAUUACCAUGGAGGAUGUUGCAGCUGAGCUUGUAAAUAUUAUUUUGAUAGACUUAUAUUUCCUUCUGAAAGGAAAGAGUAUUAAGGAAUAUUUUGAAAAUAUAGAAAGGGAAUAAAAGAAAAAAACAAACCCAGUAAGAUAAACCAGUAAGAUAAAUUUGGCUCACCAGCCUUUUUGCCAUUUCAUGUCUAACAUUCAUUUUUGAGAUAUAUCAGUUACAUCAAGCUGAGGCCAGCUUAGUUUUAUGUGCCUGAUAAAAUGGAGUGGAUUCACAAAGAUCUGGCCCAUUCUCUUCUGUCACCUCAUAUUUCUGUUACUGUGUCUGUACAUUCUAUUUUAACAGUUUGGAGAAAAAGAAAUGAAAGUUUCUAAGUAAAUAUUAUUACAUUCAGUUACUCCAUAGAGAUUCUGUAUUGUGUAUUCCUCCAAGUAAUUCAUCGUGAUAAAAUGAAAUGCUGAAAUAAAAGAGUUGAUUAAAAUUUAGAUUGGAAAUUGAAAUAUCAAAUGAAUCUAAUCUGAGAGUUAUGAUUUCAGGUUUUCUUACACCCAGCAACAAAUAAAUGAAUAUCCAGGAAGUGGAACAGCCACACACUCAGGGCUGGGGCAAACACUCAGGAGGAGCUAUGGAAUAAGAGAAUCCUUUAAUAGAGAAAUCUGUUCUUUGCUUUUGGCAGGGCUGUUCUGAGAAAGGGUUCAUAAUGCCCCAGAAGUCUGGAUUUUUCUGGAUUUGGGAGGAACCAGUAGGAACCAGAGAUAUGUGGAUGUAUUUGAUGUAUUUGCUAUUCCUCAGUUGCCUCAGGAAGUGCAGAACUUUGCUCCUACAACUUCCCUCUGGGUGCAGACUGAUGUGUCCAAUGGACAAUCCAGCUUAGUGUAAAAAUUAGUUCAGUUUGCUUCUGAUUUAAUUGUAAAAUCAUUCAGACUUUGUGUGUUUUCUCUGUGAGUAAUCCAAAUUUAGAUUUCACUGUUGGUGCUACCUGUUUUUGGUUUUUUUUUGGGUUUUUUUGUGUGUGCUUGUGUUUAAUGCAGCUGAAAGUUAUUAUGUAAAACGGGUAAAUUGGAGUCUUUAAAGGAGCUGCCAACUUAAAUUUGCCUGAGUUUCUUCAGCAGUGGAGAGGAGAGGAAGAAUUCCAGACACGUCAUCCUGAUUUCACAAGUCUGCAGAGAUCUCCAGAGUGGACUUACCCAUCUGUGUGAGGUAGUAAAUAGCUCUGUGCUUUUGUUGCUCACAAGUGGCUGCACAUGUGUGCUCCAGCCAUGUAAUCCAUGGCAUCCACGGCUCCAUCUCUGCCUAGGCACACUGGCCAUCCCCUGGCUGGGCACAGCAGAGUCCUCAAGGCUGGCAGAAAUGGGCACUUGCACUCAGAAUCACCCUGCAGUGCAGUGCAGGUGCAGGACUUCCUCUCUGACCUUCCCCCAAAACACAAAAAUUGGCAUCUGAACAUUCCUGCACUGUUCAGGGACAAUACUUAGCUCAUGAUUAAAGUGUUCCUCCCAAAACCUGACAGUUUUCUGUGUUCACUCACCCUGAAGUGACAAAAGAUAGGAAGAAGAGGAGAAUGGAAAGGGAGGCUUCACUUGCUGUGACCUUAGCUUCCAAAACAAUGCUGGAGAAAGCCACCCUUGUCUCUGGGCUUCCAAACCAAGGGACCAGCAUGGCCAGCUGGGGACAACCCCUGAAAUGGAUGUUGUUCACAGCUCCCUGCUCUCACAGUGUUUGAGCCUUGUUCAGUUUUGUCCAUGGCACUGUGGGAGAGAUUUCCCCUGCUCCAGAGUCCCUGUGGCAUCUCCUCAACACACACAAAAUCACACAAAUUCACCUUUCAGCUGGCUCCUACAAAUCAAAGUCUCCUCGUGGAGCAAACCCACAUUCCCUUCAUUGUUGUUUCACAUUGUGUACCCAUGAAGGGUCCUUCUGGAUUCAGUUCUAAAGGGAUAAUUGUACUACUUAAAUAUUAAACAUCCAAGUUCUUUUUUUAUUGUUAAACCAAUAUUAAAGUAGGACGAAGCUGAUUUACACUUUAUGGCAGUGCAUUCCAGAGUCGCUGGUGUUGCAGCUGAUGUCCUGUUCCAGCAAUAUUGGCACUGCCAGGAGGCACAGAAAUGGAGAUUUUAAUCAAAAAACUUUAUUUGAGAUCCACUUCAGUGAAAUUAUAAGCUGCCAAAAGGUGAAGACAACCACUUUAUCUGCAAGAGAAUAUUCAUUUAUGGGACUUCCCUGGUGACAUAGGUUUGAAAUGGGAAAAUGAGCUUAAAGUCUUCUUCAAGAGAGAUUUACUCACAGUUUUCUCCAGUGUCAUUCAGGGGCCAAGCUUUCAAGUCUUCCAGAUUUGGACUUGUUUUGAUUUCAUUGCAAAAUCCUGCAAGAAUUCUGCCAACAGCAAGGCCAAUGUGUCUGAAAAGAGAUGGCAUUUCCAGUACCUAAAGUGAUUGCUUUGAGUCUGUAAGGUCAUCAUGGUUGAAGGCAUGAAGAUGAGGACAUCAAAGCCUUUGCCCACUUAUGACAAUUACUCUGGAGACAAACACAGCCCAGAAGACAAAUGUUAUGAGCUACCUGAGGCUUUAUUUCCCGGAGAGUACCACGGGCAAGCAGUGUCUCAGAAUUCACCAGCCAUGGAUGUGAUUGUUCUCCAUUGUCUUGCUGUUCUCAGGUCCUGUGCAUGGAACUGGGAAAGCUUCAAGGUUGAAUUCAAAAUUCCUCAGUUGAUAUCUUAGGUUUCUUCCCUCAUUUGUAGAUAUUUUAUCAGCUCCUUAUCCUGCGUUUAGGUUUACUGACAAAUGAUGUUCUGCACUUGUGCUGGGAUCCUACAGAAGGGUUUAUUGGGAUGAAUGUGCCAGGACUGAUGAACCAGAUCCCAAAAUGCAUUAUGUACAGAAGUGGGCUGAGGUCCUCAAACCUGGGAGGUGCAGCCACGCCAAAGCCAGUGCCAGACACUAAUCCUCUCCUCCAGACACUGAGCUGUGCUGUUUGAGGGAAAAGAAAUGGGGAAAUGAUCCUGGAAUCAAUUCAGACUUGCAAGAACCAUUAUCCUGGAUAUCCAAAUCUACCCAACCCUUUUUACCAAAUGAUUUUUUCCUCUUAGUGCUACAGCCAUACCAACUCUCACGUGCUUAAUGCUGCUUUCCCCAUGUCCUUCAUCCCCUUGGAGAUGAAGAACCUCUCCCGCAGGGACACCACGGUGCCGCUGGGACUCCCAAGGGGCUCGGGCUGGCCCUGGGCACCCAGGAAUGCUCCUCGCAGCCCUGGGCUGCAGCCAGCCCAGGGAAAACCAUCUGUUCCCUUUGGAAAGGGGUUUGCUUCCCCCCGGAGCCCUCCCCCCGCAUCCCGGCUCCGGCCCCAGCUGCCGUGUUUCGAUGAGCACUGAGGGAAUGAAUCUCCUGCGUUUAAAAAUACUCUGCUUCUAUUUAGAUGAAAAGAAGAAUCUUGCUUGCCUACACUGGCAUACAAAAAUAGGCUCAGUGUGAGUAAAUCUUCAAAGUUUCUCUUGGUGAAUAUAUCUAGCCUCACUUUUUUUUUUUUUUAACUUAUAUGAUAAGUUUAUUUAUAGAGUGUCCUUCUUUCCUCCUACUCUAUCAAGACAUUUGCAGAAGGUUGUCGCUCGUCUUGUUCAGGAGUCCUGAAAUAAUUUGCAGUGCCUUUGAAACAUCAUCGUGUUGCAUAGUUGUGAUCAACGUGCUGCUGUUGCAUGAACAUAUCAUAUUUUAAUGUGAAUGUCAGGUUAGCUGAGACAUUCAGGGCUUUCUUUGACUUUAGCUGCUUUACACUGGUUUGUGUUUUCGCUUGAACACUGCAGUAAAAAUUCUGCAUAUAGUAAUUUAAAAUUUUCCAUUUUACAUGCAAGGCAUUGCCUAGAAAAUUAAUGUGUAAUAUGAGAGGAUUAGUAAGAUGUAUACACUUUCCAAACAUCUCUUAAAAAUAGCUUUCACUGUCACUGUAGCAUCUUAAUUCUGAAUAAUCUCACAGUCCUUCUGCAAAUCUGUGCAUGUAGUAACAGAGAAGCCACCUACUUCAUCCUCUUGAACUGCACAAUAUGGAUCUGGGCAUGGAAAAAAAUGGGUUUUGGAGUAGGGCUCUGCUUUGGCAGAGAGGCUGUCUGUGGAACU
Molecule: long non-coding RNA, 9056 nt
Filed under: Taeniopygia guttata (zebra finch)
Lineage: Eukaryota; Metazoa; Chordata; Aves; Passeriformes; Estrildidae
Description: lncRNA (ENSTGUG00000021601.1)
Source: RNAcentral